Molecule: ribosomal RNA, 434 nt
Filed under: uncultured bacterium
Lineage: Bacteria
Description: partial 16S ribosomal RNA
Rfam family: Bacterial small subunit ribosomal RNA
Source: RNAcentral
AGCGAACGCUGGCGGCAGGCCUAACACAUGCAAGUCGAACGAACCUUUCGGGGUUAGUGGCGGACGGGUGAGUAACACGUGGGAACGUGCCUUUAGGUUCGGAAUAAAUCAGGGAAACUUGUGCUAAUACCGAAUGUGCCCUUCGGGGGAAAGAUUUAUCGCCUUUAGAGCGGCCCGCGUCUGAUUAGCUAGUUGGUUGAGGUAAUGGCUCACCAAGGCGACGAUCAGUAGCUGGUCUGAGAGGAUGAUCAGCCACAUUGGGACUGAGACACGGCCCAAACUCCUACGGGAGGCAGCAGUUGGGAAUCUUGCGCAAUGGGCGAAAGCCUGACGCAGCCAUGCCGCGUGAAUGAUGAAGGUCUUAGGAUUGUAAAAUUCUUUCACUGGGGACGAUAAUGACGGUACCCGGAUAAGAAGCCCCGGCUAACUUCGUG